Long non-coding RNA from Xyrauchen texanus (razorback sucker), 620 nucleotides. RefSeq lists it as uncharacterized. The transcript has 4 exons. Lineage: Eukaryota; Metazoa; Chordata; Actinopteri; Cypriniformes; Catostomidae. The record is from RefSeq and is a predicted model, not a curated record.
AUGAACUUUAAUCUUACGGCAAAGGCAGGAGGAAUGCUGGAGAAGAUCCAGACCAUGCUUGCUCAGCAGCAGUGUGAAGAGAGGAGAUUCCAGGGAAUAACACUGAAGGGGAAUCUGAAAGGCUUCAUGGACCUCACCAAUCCCCAGCUGUAGCAACACAUGGAGGCGGCCAUCAACAUUGGCGUGGAUGAUCUCAAAGCCAGGUUUGGUGGUUUGCUGAAGGAUGAGGGUGUCCAGACCACAGUGGAGUCUUUCGGAGUGACACAUGGCCAGAAGACCAGGCCAGCCUUUUCACCUUUGGCGAUGAUGGUGUGGCAUACCUGAUGAGGCAUUUCAAGGAGCCUCUAGAGAGAUCGGCAGGUGCAACAUGACAGCAAUCCAGGAUGAGUGGCAGGGGCUGAAAAUCCUGGUCAGCCACAAUUUCAAGGACAAGUCCUACAGUGGGCUGUGGGAGACCAUGUUGACAAAGGACACCUACUGGCACGAUUACAAGAACAUACUGAAGGUGGUGCAUUUUAUGCUGGUGCUGCCCAUUUCAGCUGCCCAGUGUGAGCAAGGCAUCUCUGCACAGAACCAGAUAAAAAAUUCGACAAGAAGCUGCCUUGGGUUCUCCACCACCG